This 253-nucleotide ribosomal RNA is filed under the name uncultured bacterium. RNAcentral's name for it is "partial 16S ribosomal RNA". It matches the Rfam family "Bacterial small subunit ribosomal RNA", at positions 524 to 776 of the family's 1533-position model. The record is from RNAcentral.
UACAGAGGGGGCAAGCGUUGUUCGGAAUUACUGGGCGUAAAGGGCGCGUAGGCGGCCUGCUAAGUCGAACGUGAAAUCCCCGGGCUCAACCCGGGAACUGCGUCCGAUACUGGCAGGCUUGAAUCCGGGAGAGGGAUGCGGAAUUCCAGGUGUAGCGGUGAAAUGCGUAGAUAUCUGGAGGAACACCGGUGGCGAAGGCGGCAUCAUGGACCGGUAUUGACGCUGAGGCGCGAAAGCCAGGGGAGCAAACGGG